Long non-coding RNA from Anoplopoma fimbria (sablefish), 547 nucleotides. RefSeq lists it as uncharacterized. The record is from RefSeq and is a predicted model, not a curated record. Lineage: Eukaryota; Metazoa; Chordata; Actinopteri; Perciformes; Anoplopomatidae. The transcript is spliced from 3 exons.
GUGUUUUUAUUAAUUGAUGAUAAUGUCCGGUUUUCCUUCUGUGCGUGUAUAUGUGUGUAUAUGUGUGUAUAUGUGUGUGCCCCCCCUCUCCCGGUUGUCAUUGUGGGUUAGCGUUAUUACAGUAGCCAUUUAACGCAUCGCCAGAGAAGACGUCGUAUGACGUACAGACGUUAAUCAGGACGUACGACCAGACGCGGCAGCGUCAACAAUCUAGAGGCGGCAAAAAGGAAAGAAAAGAAGACCAGCGGUCAUAAAUGCAUCUGGAUUUGACUGUUGCCCGUUCUGGAUUUGACUGUUGCUACAAUUUCCUCUGCUGGGUUCGCUUGAUCAAAACAAAAAUGAAUAGAAAGACUGUGCCUGUCUCCUUAUCAGCCUUAAGACGAAGGACACGUGCAGACGUUCAAAAAAGGCUUAAUCAAAUUAGGACAGACAUGACUGACAUGACAGGAAUAGGGGCAGAUGACAGAGUUCUUUCUGAGAACACUGCCCAACCCUCUUCAGGUGCACAUGCAAUGCCAGAGGUGCAAGUUCUUACUGAAGAGGACAU